Long non-coding RNA from Lolium rigidum, 1496 nucleotides. RefSeq lists it as uncharacterized. The transcript is spliced from 4 exons. Lineage: Eukaryota; Viridiplantae; Streptophyta; Magnoliopsida; Poales; Poaceae. The record is from RefSeq and is a predicted model, not a curated record.
CAGCAAUUAGUGAUGGGGGAGGCGAGUAUUCUUCCAUAUAAACCUCACUCCUCCUCUCUCCUGAUUCCCCGCCGAUCUGACAAUUUUGUUGCUUGCGGUCUUUGAAGGGAUGCGGCUGGUGUCGAGGAAAACGCGAAGGAACAACUUCUUUGGAUCGAAGCGCUGCUACCAGAUCAACUUGGUGGUUGCUUGUGCUGCCCUUCGGCGCCUCUUCAGCUCCUGCAUCUCCACUAGGUCUUUGAAGGGAUGCGGCUGGUGUCAAGGAAAACGCGAAGGAACAACUUCUUUGGAUCGAAGCGCUGCUACCGGAUCGACUUGGUGGUUGCAUGUGCUGCCCUUCGGCACCUCUCCAGCUCGUGCAUCUCCACAAGGUUGUCGAAAGGCAAGCUAUUUCUCAGAUUGGUAAUGAUGAUGAAGUGUCGGUAUCUAGAGGAAAGCUAAUUGUGAGGGAGAUUAUGAAAUAUUGUUGUUGCCUGUGAUUCGUAUGAAAUCCGACAGAGUAUUAAAAAUUACUUUUCUCGGUCUAGCAUAAUCAUUGUUUAGGUCAACCAUAGUGUAGUAAUAGUAUUGUUAGUUUUUCCUUAUAUCAACAUAACUGUCACUCCAGAUUGGACUCAAAGGGGAAGAACACUUGCAUAUGUAUAGUCAUUCACAGGCCUCUCCAGAAUUGGUAUCAGACAACGCUUACCCAACAAAUGAAACACUGAUAUUGUUAAAGGGCUAACCCAUUCAUGGUGUAGAAUAAAAAUUUCAGUGCAUAUUAUAUCCCUGUUUGUACUGGUGUGUCAAAGUUAUUGUAGUAGAGUUUUGGCUAUGCAUAUUACUUGUCUUUUCAUGCUUGGGUGCUGCACUUAAAAUUUAAAAAAUGUUCUUCCUGGGAUAGAAUGUUAAACGACAAGGUUUAUUCUUCUUCAGAACAAAGCUCUUCGGGAGUUGGGGGGUUAUCUUUUAGAUUAAGCAUUAGAGAAACUUGGUCUUUCACUAAUCCAUAAGUAAUUCAAUAAUUCCAGUUGCACCAAAAUUAUUUAAUGGGUUUCAUAUUCUCCAUUCAUGCAUGUUUACAAUCACCGAGGAACUAAAACUACCUCAUUAUAAAAGUCAAACAUCUAAUUCUAAGAUGCAAAAGGCAUGUCAAAAUUCAUGUUAGUACAAUAUGGCAUCUUGAAAGAUAGAACUGUACCUUCUAUUAUCUCUCCUUUUGCAUGUAGCUUACAAGAUUAAUUGCAGAGGUGAAGACAGAAGACAUGGUGUGGACUGGAGUAAACCAUGAUAAGUUAAGUUGAAGUUUCCUGAGUUGAUGAAGCAGCAGACGGAUCACUGAGUCGAGUAGUCUAGAGGUGAAAACAGAAGACAUGGUAUGGACUGCAGCAAGGGGGCUCCUUAGUGCAUUGUGAUCAUGGAGAUAACGAAAAUAAAAGUUUGUUGGAGCUAGAGUGUGAGUUGCCACUGAAUAAAACGAUUUUCCUGUUGACGUCUUUUAAGUAAACUUUCCAAUU